AUUGAACGCUGGCGGCAGGCCUAACACAUGCAAGUCGAGCGGAUGAAGGGAGCUUGCUCCUGGUUUCAGCGGCGGACGGGUGAGUAAUGCCUAGGAAUCUGCCUGGUAGUGGGGGAUAACGUCCGGAAACGGGCGCUAAUACCGCAUACGUCCUGAGGGAGAAAGUGGGGGAUCUUCGGACCUCACGCUAUCAGAUGAGCCUAGGUCGGAUUAGCUAGUUGGUGGGGUAAAGGCCUACCAAGGCGACGAUCCGUAACUGGUCUGAGAGGAUGAUCAGUCACACUGGAACUGAGACACGGUCCAGACUCCUACGGGAGGCAGCAGUGGGGAAUAUUGGACAAUGGGCGAAAGCCUGAUCCAGCCAUGCCGCGUGUGUGAAGAAGGUCUUCGGAUUGUAAAGCACUUUAAGUGGGGAGGAAGGGAAGUAAGUUAAUACCUUGCUGUUUUGACGUUACCAACAGAAUAAGCACCGGCUAACUUCGUG
RNAcentral lists this ribosomal RNA (484 nucleotides) under uncultured bacterium. Its description in RNAcentral is "partial 16S ribosomal RNA". It matches the Rfam family "Bacterial small subunit ribosomal RNA", at positions 30 to 507 of the family's 1533-position model. The record is from RNAcentral.